GUUUGAUCAUGGCUCAGAUUGAACGCUGGCGGCAGGCUUAACACAUGCAAGUCGAGCGGGGGAAGGUAGCUUGCUACUGGACCUAGCGGCGGACGGGUGAGUAAUGCUUAGGAAUCUGCCUAUUAGUGGGGGACAACAUCUCGAAAGGGAUGCUAAUACCGCAUACGUCCUACGGGAGAAAGCAGGGGAUCUUCGGACCUUGCGCUAAUAGAUGAGCCUAAGUCGGAUUAGCUAGUUGGUGGGGUAAAGGCCUACCAAGGCGACGAUCUGUAGCGGGUCUGAGAGGAUGAUCCGCCACACUGGGACUGAGACACGGCCCAGACUCCUACGGGAGGCAGCAGUGGGGAAUAUUGGACAAUGGGGGGAACCCUGAUCCAGCCAUGCCGCGUGUGUGAAGAAGGCCUUAUGGUUGUAAAGCACUUUAAGCGAGGAGGAGGCUACUUUAGUUAAUACCUAGAGAUAGUGGACGUUACUCGCAGAAUAAGCACCGGCUAACUCUGUGCCAGCAGCCGCGGUAAUACAGAGGGUGCGAGCGUUAAUCGGAUUUACUGGGCGUAAAGCGUGCGUAGGCGGCUUAUUAAGUCGGAUGUGAAAUCCCCGAGCUUAACUUGGGAAUUGCAUUCGAUACUGGUGAGCUAGAGUAUGGGAGAGGAUGGUAGAAUUCCAGGUGUAGCGGUGAAAUGCGUAGAGAUCUGGAGGAAUACCG
RNAcentral lists this ribosomal RNA (706 nucleotides) under Acinetobacter baumannii. RNAcentral's name for it is "bacterial SSU rRNA". It matches the Rfam family "Bacterial small subunit ribosomal RNA", at positions 11 to 711 of the family's 1533-position model. The record is from RNAcentral. Lineage: Bacteria; Pseudomonadati; Pseudomonadota; Gammaproteobacteria; Moraxellales; Moraxellaceae.